RNAcentral lists this unclassified non-coding RNA (343 nucleotides) under soil metagenome. RNAcentral describes it as "partial contains 5.8S ribosomal RNA, internal transcribed spacer 2, and large subunit ribosomal RNA". The stretch from base 1 to 120 matches the Rfam family "5.8S ribosomal RNA", at positions 35 to 154 of the family's 154-position model. The record is from RNAcentral.
GAUGAAGAACGCAGCGAAAUGCGAUAAGUAAUGCGAAUUGCAGAAUUCAGUGAGUCAUCGAAUCUUUGAACGCACAUUGCGCCCGCCAGCAUUCUGGCGGGCAUGCCUGUUCGAGCGUCAUUUCAACCCUCGAGCCCCCCCGGGGGCCUCGGUGUUGGGGGACGGCACACCAGCCGCCCCCGAAAUGCAGUGGCGACCCCGCCGCAGCCUCCCCUGCGUAGUAGCACACACCUCGCACCGGAGCGCGGAGGCGGUCACGCCGUAAAACGCCCAACUUUCUUAGAGUUGACCUCGGAUCAGGUAGGAAUACCCGCUGAACUUAAGCAUAUCAAUAAGCGGAGGA